CAGCCCGCUCCCGGUAAAACGGGACGGCCCGCCAGAGGACCCCUAAACUCUGUUUCUAUAUGUAACUUCUGAGUAAAACCAUAAAUAAAUCAAAACUUUCAACAACGGAUCUCUUGGUUCUGGCAUCGAUGAAGAACGCAGCAAAAUGCGAUAAGUAAUGUGAAUUGCAGAAUUCAGUGAAUCAUCGAAUCUUUGAACGCACAUUGCGCCCGCCAGUAUUCUGGCGGCAUGCCUGUUCGAGCGUCAUUUCAACCCUCAAGCACAGCUUGGUGUUGGGACUCGCGUUAAUUCGCGUUCCCCAAAUUGAUUGGCGGUCACGUCGAGCUUCCAUAGCGUAGUAGUAAAACCCUCGUUACUGGUAAUCGUCGCGGCCACGCGGUUAAACCCCAACUUCUGAAUGUUGACCUCGGAUCAGGUAGGAAUACCCGCUGAACUUAAG
Molecule: ribosomal RNA, 439 nt
Filed under: Fusarium oxysporum
Lineage: Eukaryota; Fungi; Ascomycota; Sordariomycetes; Hypocreales; Nectriaceae
Description: eukaryotic LSU rRNA
Rfam family: 5.8S ribosomal RNA (bases 94-246)
Source: RNAcentral